GAUGAACGCUGGCGGCGUGCUUAACACAUGCAAGUCGAACGAUGAAGCCCAGCUUGCUGGGUGGAUUAGUGGCGAACGGGUGAGUAACACGUGAGUAACCUGCCCUUAACUCUGGGAUAAGCCUGGGAAACUGGGUCUAAUACCGGAUAGGAGCGUCCACCGCAUGGUGGGUGUUGGAAAGAUUUAUCGGUUUUGGAUGGACUCGCGGCCUAUCAGCUUGUUGGUGAGGUAAAGGCUCACCAAGGCGACGACGGGUAGCCGGCCUGAGAGGGUGACCGGCCACACUGGGACUGAGACACGGCCCAGACUCCUACGGGAGGCAGCAGUGGGGAAUAUUGCACAAUGGGCGCAAGCCUGAUGCAGCGACGCCGCGUGAGGGAUGACGGCCUUCGGGUUGUAAACCUCUUUCAGUAGGGAAGAAGCGAAAGUGACGGUACCUGCAGAAGAAGCACCGGCUAACUACGUG
Molecule: ribosomal RNA, 466 nt
Filed under: uncultured bacterium
Lineage: Bacteria
Description: partial 16S ribosomal RNA
Rfam family: Bacterial small subunit ribosomal RNA
Source: RNAcentral